AUUGAUCAAUCUACCAUGUCUAGUUAAAUCUCCUUCGCUGGAGUGAUUGACGUAGUAUGAAUAAAAAGUAUGCUUGAAGUUUAAUUUUAGCUUCCUUUUAGUUGCAAUUUAACAAUAUUAAAAUUAAUUUUGUUGUGAGACUUGGUCAACUCACGGCUUAAUGAAAUGUAUGAAUUGUUACUAAAAAAUCUAAAUCCUAAAUUUC
This 205-nucleotide long non-coding RNA is filed under the name Carica papaya (papaya). RNAcentral's name for it is "long non-coding RNA (CPAP_LNC004780)". The record is from RNAcentral. Lineage: Eukaryota; Viridiplantae; Streptophyta; Magnoliopsida; Brassicales; Caricaceae.